Molecule: long non-coding RNA, 181 nt
Filed under: Chinchilla lanigera (long-tailed chinchilla)
Lineage: Eukaryota; Metazoa; Chordata; Mammalia; Rodentia; Chinchillidae
Description: lncRNA (ENSCLAG00000023509.1)
Source: RNAcentral
CUCCGCUCCUGCUGUUAGUAAGGAUUCCAGACCAUGCAGACUUCUAACCCACUGGGUAGACUGCAAGGCACAUCAGUGUACACAGAUUCUCCAGCACGUGGGAAUUAUGAUUAUUCUCUCAAGAUGCUCAAGAAGACUGCAGGUGAAUAGAGAGAUUUGAAAAUAUUUUCAUUUACCAGGC